CCUACGGGAGGCAGCAGUGAGGAAUAUUGGUCAAUGGCCGUAAGGCUGAACCAGCCAAGUAGCGUGAGGGAAGACUGCCCUAUGGGUUGUAAACCUCUUUUAUGCGGGGAUAAAGGUGUCCACGUGCGGAUGUUUGCAGGUACCGCAUGAAUAAGGACCGGCUAAUUCUGUUCCAGCAGCCGCGGUAAUACGGAGGGUCCGGGCGUUAUCCGGAUUUAUUGGGUUUAAAGGGAGCGUAGGCCGGUCUUUAAGCGUGCCGUGAAAUUUUGUGGCUCAACCAUGAGAGUGCUGCGCGAACUGGAGACCUUGAGUGCGGGGAAGGCAGGCGGAAUUCGUGGUGUAGCGGUGAAAUGCUUAGAUAUCACGAGGAACCCCGAUUGCGAAGGCAGCCUGCCGCAGCGUUACUGACGCUGAAGCUCGAAAGCGCGGGUAGCGAACAGGAUUAGAUACCCGUGUAGUC
This 460-nucleotide ribosomal RNA is filed under the name uncultured bacterium. RNAcentral describes it as "partial 16S ribosomal RNA". It matches the Rfam family "Bacterial small subunit ribosomal RNA", at positions 338 to 795 of the family's 1533-position model. The record is from RNAcentral.